This 1325-nucleotide long non-coding RNA is filed under the name Calidris pugnax (ruff). RNAcentral's name for it is "lncRNA (ENSCPUG00000019946.1)". The record is from RNAcentral. Lineage: Eukaryota; Metazoa; Chordata; Aves; Charadriiformes; Scolopacidae.
CACACUUGGAAGGGGAAGACUCGGGCUGUUCUCAGUGGUGUGUCUAAGGUUUUAGAUGUCCUCCUUUUUUCGCAGGGAGGCCGUUAAAUCGUGCUGCUGGGAACCAUACGGGCAGAUACUUAACUUUAAAAAAAAGGUGAACACGGGAGCAUACAGAAUACUUUAUGAUAUUAAUAGAUGGAGUCCAGAGCAACGUGGUUUCCCUCAACAAUGUCAGAGCCACAGUGAAACUGAAAAAAACACCUCCUUGAGUAACGAGUACUGCCUGCUGGCACUGAAGAAUUGCAGAAUCAUGGAAUUGUCGGAGUUGGAAGGGACCUUCUAGAGAUCAUCCAGUCCAACUCCCCUGCCAAAGCAGGGCUGCCCAGAGCACAGCACUCAGGAGCAUCCAGGUGGGGCUUGAAGAUCUCCAGAGAAGGGGACUCCACACCCUCCCUGGGCAGCCUCUGCCAGGGCUCUGCCACCUUCACCCCAAGAAGUUCUUCCUCAGAUUGGAGUGGAACUUCCCAUGUUCCAACUUGUGCCCGUUGCCCCUCGUCCUGUCACUGGGAACCACUGAAAAGAGUCUGGCUCCAUCCUCCUUCAACCCACCCUUCAGAUACUUGUCAGCAUUCAUAAGGUGAUGAGGUAAGAAAAAGCUGAGCGGCCUUAGGAAUAUCUCCUAGAGGUAAUAUCAAAAGCUGGCACCUUUUCUUGCAAUCUAUUUUCUAGUGAAAAUAGGGUUAAAAGGCAGGAUACUGAAAGAGAAUGAUGACCAGAAUUUGUGUAAGAGAAGGAGAAAGGAGAAAACCACGAGGAUGAAACUUGGGGUCAGGGUUGAGGACAUGCCAGUAGAGAUGGGAAACCAAGACAGGAUGGAGAAGCACGAGGCCUGCAAGGGUCUACAGGUUUGUUGAGGGGCCUGUGGAAGCAGAGAGCCUCACAGCCAGUGAGGGAGAAAAUUUAAUGGGCUUUCCUAUGUGGCAGGUGCCUGAAGGGAGUGCAGUGUUUAAUACAUCAUUACUCCAUCCAAAAUGAUUCCUGCCAGAUAUUUAUUUUUUUUCACUUUUAACACCGCUCUUUAGUCUUUCCAUCCUACUAUUUUGGUAAAAAUCUGUUUUAUAUAGACUAUAGUUACAUAUUCAUAGAUAUAUUCAUGUCUAUCAGCCUAUACUUUGGCUAUACUGUUCAUAUACAUUAUAGCCAAAUCUGGUAUGCUUUUGUUUUGAGAAGAAUUCCUUAUCAUUUUGCAUAGGUAUAAUAAUAUACUAUGUUUAGCAACCCUGUUCACAGCUCAGUGCCACCUGUUUUUAAGAUUCCCUGGCUCACACCUAAUAACUUGUGCU